This 476-nucleotide ribosomal RNA is filed under the name uncultured bacterium. Its description in RNAcentral is "bacterial SSU rRNA". It matches the Rfam family "Bacterial small subunit ribosomal RNA", at positions 328 to 793 of the family's 1533-position model. The record is from RNAcentral.
UCAGUCGACUCCUACGGGGAGGCAGCAGUGAGGAAUAUUGGUCAAUGGGCGAAAGCCUGAACCAGACCAUGUCGCGUGCAGGACGACUGCCCUAUCGGGGUUGUAAACUGCUUUUAUAUGGGGAAGAAAUGCGAGUACGUGUACUUGUUUGCCGGUACCAUAUGAAUAAGCAUCAGCUAACUCCGUGCCAGCAGCCGCGGUAAUACGGAGGAUGCGAGCGUUAUCCGGAUUCAUUGGGUUUAAAGGGUGCGUAGGCGGAAGUGUAAGUCAGGGGUGAAAGUUUGCAGCUCAACUGUAAAAAUUGCCUUUGAUACUGCAUUUCUUGAGUACAUUUGAGGUAGGCGGAAUGUGUUGUGUAGCGGUGAAAUGCUUAGAUAUAACACAGAACACCGAUUGCGAAGGCAGCUUACUAAACUAGUAACUGACGCUGAUGCACGAAAGCGUGGGGAUCGAACAGGAUUAGAUACCCCUGGUAG